GCUGGGAUGCAGAGAGGAAGGAGGUGUACGAGAAGAGGCUCAUAGAGGAGGCUGCGGAAAAAGAGCACAAGGAAGAGGAGGAAAGGAGGCGGGUUGCUGCGAACAGGGAGGAGAGGGAGAAGAAGCUUGAGCGGGCACGCUGAGUGAAAGCAGCGGUUGAGGAGAAUCCCGAUGCCUUAAGGAGGGGAAAGUGGCCUCGUUGCACUCAGUAGUCAUAUUUAAGUUCUAGUUCUAUGGUUUAUUUAUGAACAAUAUUUUCUACUGUGAGACUUUUAUUAUGUUGUCAUGUAAUAAUGCACUUUAAGUAUGGACACACAAUUUGUAGACGACCUAUGUUUAUUUUGAGAUGUAAUGCAUUUCGAAGUCGUAGUCUAGUGAAAUUUCCGCAGAAAAUAAAAAAGGUACUUGUUAGCGAAAUUUCGGCAGAAUUUUCCCUACUUUUUGAUGCAAUCCAUACAAAAUUACGAGAUGAAUAGUGAAUAUAAAUACAAACAUACAAGCAUAGAAGCAUAUGAC
This 516-nucleotide long non-coding RNA is filed under the name Setaria viridis. RNAcentral's name for it is "long non-coding RNA (SVIR_LNC008330)". Lineage: Eukaryota; Viridiplantae; Streptophyta; Magnoliopsida; Poales; Poaceae. The record is from RNAcentral.